CAGCACAGAGCCUGAUGCGGGGCUCGAACUCACAAACCGCGAGAUCAGACCCAAGCCGAAGUCAGACGCUUAACCUACUGAGCCACCCAGGUGUCCCCCCCUCUUUUUUUUUUUAAUGGGGAUUGUUUUAAUCCCUACUUCCACAGUGAGUAUUCCUCGCUGUGAGAAAGUUAGUAUCGAGAGCCAAACUUCUGCUACGUCUCAAAGACUUAGCUCUAAGCACCUUUGUUCACCCAAGGACACUGGGGACAAAAGAAGUCUUGUUUCCGUAGUUACAAAUAGCACAUUGAUUCACUCUCCGGGAUCACGGAGGCGGCGGGGUGUGGCGGGCGCCCGCGCAAGUCCGGGCGCUGGACCUCACUCCCCCCAAAACUGCCAGCCCCUGCUCGCCCAGGAAGUCUUUGGGGACUCCCCACAUCCCACCCCCGCCCCCCCCCCAAUCCCAGACCUGAUUCAGGGCCACUGGUCCCCGAAAACAAAGGAGGGUGAUGCCGCCUCCGGCCACCAGAUGGCGCUCCUCUCACCCAACUAGCCGGGGCCAGCGGCAGGUGGUUCCCAGCACCUGCCAGAGGGAGGGCUCCCUGCACCUGCGGAAUUGGUGGGGUCACUGGGAGCCGCCAUCCUGGGUGCUAGCUCAGCCCCCCGCCCCCGGCCAGCCCCCUCCUCUCGCUGGCCCCCACCCUGGGGCAGAGGCACUGGAUGUGACAGGACUGGGGACAUGAUGCCCUGGAGCUCUGGCACGAUGUGAAGGAUCCCACAGCUGGGUGGACCCCCACCCCCACAAAGGCAGGCGGGGCCCCUGCUGGGACCCAGGCUUGGCCACGAAGGUCCUGAAGGUGGCUGGGUGUCGGGGACCCCUGUUCUGUCUUCUGGCCCCCUGCAGAGCUCCGGAGUCCCAGCUCCAGGGAAGGUGGUCCCGUGCCCCUUCAGAGAAUGACCGCGCGCGGCCCGCUGGAGGGAGGACCUGUGCCCAGGGCCACCCGGAGCCAGCCCUGACUCGUCCAGCUGAGAGCUGUGUGACCUGGCCGUGGUCACUGCCUGUGGGGCUGAGCUUGGCAUGUCCUGAGUCUGGGGUGGUGACUCCUGUCAGCGACCGAAUCUGCAGUGGGCCCCUCCCCCGGAGGAUGUGUCCUCAGCGCCUGCAGAGCUCUUGUGGCGUCCCCUGGCCCCUGUGUGGUCCGUGCCAUCCGCCCACACAUCCCGUGGUCCCGUCCACCUGGGUGGGCGUUUUCCCGGAUUUCCCUUAGACAGUCUAAGACCUAAGAGCCCCAGGGCCUAAUAAUCGUACAAAAACGCGUCCCAGUGUUAGUCAUUCUGGCUCAGUUUCCCUGAGUGUACGUGACGUGUCCUUUCAGCACGUGAGUCCCAGACUUUGCGGACCAGGUGGGUUGACGUGGGUUUUAGUGUUUCGCGACUGCUCUGCUCGGGUGCUGUGGGGUUUCCCCGGGACGUCCGAUUAUACGCUGUUGGUUCCUCCGCUUUCUCUCCUUCCCUUGCACCGCGAUCGACACGUAACUUACACGUCACGCCCUUCGCCCAUCUCACGCGUGCCAUUCGACGGUUGUCAGCGUCUUUACAAAGUCGUGCAGCCAAACCACGAACCUGCUCUACUCUCAGGACGUUUCCUCGCCCCGAAGGGACACCUCACCCCUGUUAGCCGUCCCAGCCCACACCCCCAGCGACGCCGCAGCUCCGCCCUCCGUGCGGCCGCCCGGCUGCGCCUGCGCAGAUGCCCCGCGCGCCCACCUGCCCCCACCUGUCGAGGCGCGUCUGGGCGCUUGUUGGCCGUGGCGCAGCUGCGCCUGGAGACACCCCAGCGUCCCGCUUUGCCCCUUUCCUCGAUUUUCCGCUUUCUCUCCAAUCCUUUUCAUGCGUUUUUACUUCCUUCUAUGCUUCUCCUAAUGCUUUUGUGUGCCUCCACUUUUGUGGCCCCUCUGCUCUAAUCUUCAUUUCCAAACUCAUGUUGUUUAUUUCUAAUUCUGAUUUGCGGUAUUUUUCACAUAUCGUAUGAUUCCUGCGGUCUUCAAGCUCGUUUUGAAGUGUUGCGUCGUGUAUGCGCGUGGUAGCCAACCGCCCAGAGGGCCUGUGCGUCCUCGGCGCCCAGAAUUCCUGCCCCUGUGGGCUGUGGGCUCCCACCUGCUUCAAAUCAGGGUCAAUGUUGCACGCGGCGCGCGUGAAGGACGUCGCCCGUGCUGGUUUCUGGGACUAGGUCAUCCGUGGGAUGGCGGCCGCCCCCUUCGUUUCUCGGAGCACUUGUGGGGGCGGGGGGUGGGGGGGGGCAGCCGUCAUGUGGUGAGGAAGCUCCAGCAGCUCACAUGGAAAAGCCCGCAGAGAGUCACAGAGAGGCCCGCGUGGAGACCCACACGGAGGGGAGCACUCAAAGGGGCCCACGUGGAGGGGAGCACAUGGGGGGCACACACGGAAGGGAAAACUCAGAGGGGAGCACACAGAGGGGAGCACACGGAGGGGUGCACAAAGAGGGGCCUACAUGGAGGGGCGCACAGGGUACCGCAUGGGUUUUGUGGGCCUCUCUGCCCGUGGGCCCCCGUCUCCUGCAGGGACACUAACCCUCUCCUCCUCGUCCUCUGUUUUCCUUCGAGCGUCUGUGCAGGUUCUGACCAUGAGUCACUCCACGGCUCAGGCUCCUGUGAAAUCCGUUUCUGGUGCUGCUCCUCCCACACCUGCCCCAGGACCCCUUUAUCUACUCGCGUGGAUCUCACCCGUUGGCUGUAUUUGAUUUGAGGUCUUCAUGCUCAUCUACAUCACAUUCUCGGUGCAUCUGUCCCCGUGACGGUGCCCCACACGCUGAGCAGGGGCCGCGCACCGGCGCCUCUGGCCACUGUGGCCCGAGAAUGCGCAUUCUGGCUCUGGUUCUGUGUCGUGAGCUGCCCGGCCUAGCCGCGUAUCCCCAGAGCCCGAGGGGGACGGGAGACGCCUCCCGUGAGACCAAAUGUAUGUUUGCUCUGCAUCGUGCUUCUGGCUCCCUAACCCCCUGGGGUUUUCCAGGUGAGAAGAGCCAAUAAGGUGUCUUUUGUAUCAUAAUGGGGAGACGCUGGAAAGCCCCUAGGAUCGCACUGGUGGCCAGGGAUCCAAGCCUGUGAUCUGAGAGCAGGAACCACCUGGCCUCUGGGAGGGGAGAGGGCCUGGGGGUUGCAUGGAUCACCUAUGGCCAAUGACUUGAUCAAGCCUCCGUAAAAAGCCAAAGAAGGAUGGGGUUGGGGUCAGAGAGCUUCGGGCGGUUGAACUCUUGGAGACUGGGGACAGCCGUGUGCUCAAGGGCUCGAGGGGGCUCCACCCCUCCCCUCCCCUCGCCCUGCCCGGCUCUGCAGCUCUUGGGCUGUUCUGAGUUCUAGCCUUGACGAUGACCAGCUGAUAGACUAAGUAAAGUGUUCCCUGCGAGCUGCCCUAGCCAACCAGGUGGGCCCACCGAGGGAGUCACUGGAACCUCCGAUCUAUAGCCAGCUGCUCAGAGGCACAGCAGGGCCUGGGGGCCUGAGGAGGCCGGGACCACCCCCCUGCCACACACACACACAGCAAACCUCCACCAGCUGCUCCGCGGGGCCCUGUGAAGCUGGGAAGGACUCCGGGGCAGCGAGGGGCAAAUACUGUCCCCCCUCAAGAAGGUCGAGUUAUUCACUAGCCUCCAAAAUAAAUAAAUGAGCACCACAGUA
Long non-coding RNA from Felis catus (domestic cat), 3671 nucleotides. RefSeq lists it as uncharacterized. Lineage: Eukaryota; Metazoa; Chordata; Mammalia; Carnivora; Felidae. The record is from RefSeq and is a predicted model, not a curated record. The transcript has 3 exons.